This is a non-coding RNA of Cnuella takakiae, 72 nucleotides long. The record is from Rfam. Lineage: Bacteria; Pseudomonadati; Bacteroidota; Chitinophagia; Chitinophagales; Chitinophagaceae.
CGCGAAGUAGAGCAGCGGUAGCUCGUCGGGCUCAUAACCCGAAGGUCCUAGGUUCGAUCCCUAGCUUCGCAA